AGAAAAUCCACCAGAAACCAUCUAAGUAAAUCCCCAUUCUGCAGCAGAGUUACAUCAUCUUUUUCUAGUCAACAAAACCAGUCUUCCCUAUGUUGCUCCAUCGAAAGCAGCCUCCUAGAAGCUUGUUCCCUUCUAUAAGAAAAGUUUAUGGAAGGAGAGACAAUGUUCAGGACCAGCUUCCAGACCACUCAGGAAUUUACUUAUUAGAAACCACAAUGAUGUUGCUGAACACUGCUCAUGGCUGUGCCAACACAUUAACGUGGAGACUACAGAAGGAAUAUUAUAAAAGUGUCAUUUAGUGAUAUUGGAGCAUCUGAGGAAUGAACCAGGAAAGAUCAGACACUGAGUUUUAGAGUCUGUUCUGCAUACAGAAAGCAUCUAGAGGUAAAACACUAACCCAAUAGUGCUGUGGUAAUUGUAGCAUUUGCUGUAUCAAAUUAAAAAAUGUGACUGGUUUUCCUGAAAAAGAAAAAUGAUACUCCAUCUCCUCUCUGAAAGAGUCAUUUUUUAAUGCUGUUUUUGAAUGUGGAGCAAGAGAUCCUAAAAAUAAUUCAUCAGCUUUAUUUAAAUUAUGCAGUGUAAUACAUAAAACAUGAAGAUUACAACAUCAAGCAAUAUAGCUGGAACAAAUUAAAACUACUUGUGCGUAUGCAUUUUAAUUCCUUCUUUAAUUACUGGUCCCUAACCUCUUUCAGUGGAUGCAGAAUGAAUAUGUGGAAUUAAGCACAGAUACCUAAUAGUGCCUGCUCUCUGCUCAUUGCCAACUCAUUGCUUCUCUCUGCUUACAUUAAUUUCUUUUAAGAGCACUCCUAUGAGCUGCAUGGUUGCUUUUACUUCAUAAGCACUAAGAUUAAAGAAAAAAUAUUAAUCGAUGUCAAAUAGGAUUUGAUUUCUUGACUCUGUAUGUUAUGAAAUAUGUAUAUGAAAUAUGGUAUAUUGCCUGCUGACUUAAUUUUCACUAGUAGGCUACCCUAAAUGAAACCCCAGCAUCUCAAGAUUGGGGUUGUGAAAACACGUCUCAACCUCUACACAAAAAAUCAGAUUAAAGCUAUGUGUUGCAUCACACAGAGAUUUUUGAGAAAGAAAACUUGGUAUCUUACAAUUUCUUUAGAAAUCUGUAAAGAACAGUCAGCAACUUCAGUCAUGAUCCUGUUCCCUCCCUUCUAAUUUGCCUAGAAAUUACACAGGGAUUACAUAUAAAAUGCUUCAUUUUAUUACACAGCUCUGCUCUGAAGCAGAAAAAUCUAUUCUGUGCACUACAAAAAAACCACAUGGCCUGGUACGCACGAAGGUUAAGGA
Molecule: long non-coding RNA, 1299 nt
Filed under: Parus major (Great Tit)
Lineage: Eukaryota; Metazoa; Chordata; Aves; Passeriformes; Paridae
Description: lncRNA (ENSPMJG00000009990.1)
Source: RNAcentral